AUGAACAUGAUCCACGCGACUUGUACAUCUAUGAGAAGGCACGAACGCGCGCAUAGAGACGCGCGUGAUAUAGAGCCCAUCGCACCUACACCUAACUACUGGAUGUCUUAUCCGAUCACCCUCGACCGCUCGGACGGCCGAAAUAGUAUUCGGCGCGAAGGAUCAGAGACCUUGGUGCUCGACCCAAUAAUCAACGGAUACCAUCUCACCCACGUCCUCAUGGACGGCGGCAGCAGUCUCAAUCUAAUAUAUGAGGACACUGUCCGCAAGAUGGGGAUAGACCCAUCAAGAAUUAGUCAAAGCAACACCACCUUCGAAGGGGUGAUACCAGGCCUUGAAGCCUACAGCAGGGGCUCCGCCAUACUGGAGGUAACAUUCGGCUCUCCAGGCAACUCUAGAAGCGAAGAACUACUCUUCAUCAUCGCACCCUUCCAAAGAACUAUCACGCAUUGCUUGGAAGAACGGCCUUCGCCCGCUUCAACGCAUUGCCGCACUAUGGCUACCUUACACUCAAGAUGCCCGGUCCACGUGGCGUCAUCACCAUUAGCGGAAUAA
This 555-nucleotide ribosomal RNA is filed under the name Triticum aestivum (bread wheat). Its description in RNAcentral is "partial small subunit ribosomal RNA". The record is from RNAcentral. Lineage: Eukaryota; Viridiplantae; Streptophyta; Magnoliopsida; Poales; Poaceae.